Long non-coding RNA from Fukomys damarensis (Damara mole-rat), 270 nucleotides. RefSeq lists it as uncharacterized. Lineage: Eukaryota; Metazoa; Chordata; Mammalia; Rodentia; Bathyergidae. The record is from RefSeq and is a predicted model, not a curated record. The transcript is spliced from 3 exons.
UGCUUAAUGAAGAGCUCUAGAUGGCUUCAACGGAAAAGUAAUACAGGCACAAAUACGGACACUGAUGCAAUAUGGUGCAUGUAAGCAAAGGGAGUACAUUCAUCCCCUGUGCUGUCAGUGACUGAGAGCAAAGAAGACUUUGCGGACUUCCGAGCUAGCCCUUGAAGUAUGCUAUGAAUGGGAAAGGAGAUGGUUUCGGAAUACGACGACAACCAUGGCGCCAUAAAAGUAUCAGAUGCCUGAAAGACGAGGCAGAGCCUGUGGCCAGAA